Molecule: non-coding RNA, 833 nt
Organism: Momordica charantia (bitter melon)
Lineage: Eukaryota; Viridiplantae; Streptophyta; Magnoliopsida; Cucurbitales; Cucurbitaceae
Source: RefSeq, a predicted model, not a curated record
UGGAAACCRACACAUUGGUUCCUCAAACAGUGUCUUGACAUCGACAACAUAGAAGUUUGCUAUAUUCUUGGCAUGGUAUACAAGGCUUUGGAAUCACCCAAAAUCUCAAGCUAUCUGGUGGCUCUGAAGUUGAUAACUUGAUKCCAGAACUCAGAGAUGGAAAAUAGAAUACGCGUGGAACGUACAAAAGUUGAAAAGAAAAGUUGUAAUCCUUCAAUCUCUCUCGAUCUUCUUCCUCUCUCGAUUUCAGGUACUCGAUCCCUUCUCCCUAUCUCUCUUCUUCAAGUCUAAGGCUUCUGCUAGAUUGUUUUAUGAUUAUUUUCCGAGUAAUUAGAACCAAGCUGAUAAAUUCGGCUCUAUUGACAUUGGUUCGGUUCCCCAAUCUCUUCUAAAUUGGAAACAUUGAAUAUUCCAUUCUCGGUUAAAUUCAACCAAUGCUGACACUACAAUAAGGUUAUGUUCUACUUCUACCCCUCGAAGGUACAUAACAUUUUUGAAUGUCCUGCUGAUUGACUACUACAUCUAGGGACGGGAUYRAUCCCGAAAGAGAGGUCUUUCUUUCGACCUUUUUCUAUUUAUUAAGAUUGGCAAUUUUGUUGGAUCCUUUAAUUUCCAGAAAAUUUGCCACCAAUGCAGCCCUGCAUGCAAGGUGUAAGGAGCUUGCUUCAGUACUAUUUUUCACUUUCAGAUAUGCACAAUGAGCACGUUUCACUGAAAAAAUAGUUUGUUUCGAAGUAUUUGUUGCCUCGGUGUGUUGGUCUCCUUGAAAUUAAAGUGGUAAGAACAGUUGUGUAGUUGUGUCGAAACGAAACACGGUUACCUCCAAAUACUGG